Molecule: RNA transcript, 4202 nt
Organism: Phyllostomus discolor (pale spear-nosed bat)
Lineage: Eukaryota; Metazoa; Chordata; Mammalia; Chiroptera; Phyllostomidae
Gene: LHFPL5
Gene name: LHFPL tetraspan subfamily member 5
Exons: 5
Source: RefSeq, a predicted model, not a curated record
GCCGCGGUGCUGAAGCAGCUCAGGUCGGGGAGGGAGGGAGGCGGGGCCGGCCCAAGGGGGCGGAGCUCUCCGGGGCCCUGAGCUGGAAAUGGGGGCGGGGAGGCGCCUGCAGGCCGGUAACCCCCAAGGGCUUGAGAGGAGAACAGGAGAUCAGAGACAGGCCGGAUAAAGCGGACACAGGCACCUGGGCAAGCUUCCCUGAAGAAGCCAAGAUCGUCAUCUUUGUCCUAUUUAUUUAUUCUCUUUCCUCUACCUUGGAGGGACCCUCAUCUUGUGCCCAGACCUCAGCCUCCUCUCCAAACUCAGCCGAGGGUGACCUGCUUCUGGGCCCCCAUCUGCACAGACACCGACUUCCAGCCCACAGGCCUCAGCCCAGGCGCUCGUGCCCUCACCAUGGUGAAGUUGCUGCCUGCCCAGGAGGCCGCCAAGAUCUACCACACCAACUAUGUGCGGAACGCCAGGGCGGUCGGCGUGAUGUGGGGCACGCUCACCAUCUGCUUCUCCGUGCUGGUCAUGGCCCUGUUCAUCCAGCCCUACUGGAUCGGGGACAGCGUCAACACACCCCAGGCAGGCUACUUCGGCCUUUUCUCCUACUGUGUGGGCAACGUGCUCUCCUCUGAACUCAUCUGCAAGGGUGGCCCUCUGGACUUCUCCUCCAUCCCCUCUAGAGCCUUCAAGACUGCCAUGUUCUUUGUGGCCUUGGGCAUGUUCCUCAUCAUUGGCUCCAUCAUCUGCUUCAGCCUGUUCUUCGUCUGCAACACCGCCACAGUCUACAAGAUCUGUGCGUGGAUGCAGCUGGCUGCAGCCACAGGCCUGAUGAUUGGCUGCCUGGUUUACCCAGAUGGUUGGGACUCGAGCGAGGUGCGGCGCAUGUGUGGGGAGCAGACCGGCAAGUACACGCUGGGCCACUGCACCAUCCGCUGGGCCUUCAUGCUGGCCAUCCUGAGCAUCGGAGACGCCCUCAUCCUCUCCUUCUUGGCCUUCGUGCUGGGCUACCGGCAGGACAAGCUGCUCCCUGACGACUACAAGGCCGAUGGACAAGAGGAAGUCUGAGGCAGCUGCAGGGUCGGGACAUCGAAUACUGUCUUACACACUAGUGAGGACGAUUGCAUGCCUGGGUGGAAAUGAAUCAAAAUGUCAUCUAUUUCCCUGACACUGGAAAAUGAGGGAAUAGUAUUCUUCUGAGAUGAACCUAGUUCCUGCCCAGCAUCCCUGACCCUGGCUGCUAGAGCAAGCCCCGAAGCCCUUGCCACAGGACUGGAGCCUGGCGCUCUCCGGGAUGAGGCUGCCUACUGUCCACAGAGAACUCUCAGGUGAAGCCGAAGUGCCGAGACACCCAUCAACGAUAUGCAGACACAGGUCCCUCUCUCCUGACUGGGGACCCAAGUUCUCUUCCUAUCCCUUCAUGCCUGCAAAUUGCUUUUCCCUCUUGAGGUCUCCUCUGUGAGAGGAGGAGGUGGAAUGAGUUGGAGCCUAGGGCCCUCCGGGUCUGAGACUCCCACAGCCCAAUUCACCGAGGACACGUCCUUUGAAGGCACACCAAAGACGGCCACCGGCUCUGCAGGGCGUCUGAACGAGAGGCAGCUAAGCAAGGUGGAUCAUUUCAAGUUGAGGUUUAGGGGUUCCUUUGCUUCUCCUUUCUCACAUUUUGUUUUCUUACUGAUGCUCAGAGGUGGGUAAGGAAGAGAGAAGCCACCAGAACCUGAAUCCAUCGGGAAGUCUAAUAAAGAUCGGGUGAACACAGAGUCUAAAAACUUGAGACUAAAUUGGCUUCUUUCCCUUUGGAACCCAAAAUCACACCUCUGUGUAGUACCCACACUGACCCAAUCAGAACUGGCUACCAGAUUCAGAAAUCUGUUACAUGUGUUCAAGUAGUUUGUUAUAGUAAUUGAAAACAUUUCUUGUAAAACACUUUGGAUUUGGCACACUAAAUGGUGAGUCUUUGCCAGCACCCAGAGGGGAACUCAGUUUGGAUAAUACCGCAUUGUAGCAAAUGCCAAGACACCUCAUUCUCCAGGCUGUUCCCUCCCUGGGGGACGGUGGGUAGGGCAGGGAUUUGUUCACUGUCUGCAGUGAACGGUCCUGAGGAACAGGUGUUUCCUGGUCUUCAGUCAUUUACUCAGGAGAGAAAAAAUGUGGGCGCUGUUCUCACAGGUGAGAGGGGGUAAAUGCUGAACAAAGCUGUAAUGGAUCUGAUAGCUUCAUCCAGCAGCAGUCAGGGACAUGACACACAGUAGGUGUCUUACUCUGGGGCCGUAGGGCAUGUUGUUUUAACCAACACCCUCUGACCAUAUGCCCAGUCAGUGCAGUAUUUCUGCUCCCGUUCAGAUGGGUGAGGAACGAGAGCCUCCCAGCGCUGUCCCGGUUGCCAAUGGGAACUUUUUAGCAUGAGGUGUAAUAAUCAUAUUCAUCUUUUUAAAAGUGGCUCAGUGAGUUUAUUGCAUUUUUUUCCAUUACCAUGUGUUAUCCUUAUACUCACCCUUCUCUGCCCUACAGUUGCCACACUUGUCCAUAUCCAUGAGUCUAUUCGUAUUUUCUUGUGCUGUUAAGAUUAUUUCAGAGCCAGGCACCUACUUCAUGCAAGCUUGAUAAACAGCAGAAUUUCACAAAUUCUAUAGCUUAGUGAGUUUCUAGCUAUAUUUGUUCAUUUAUUUCUUUUACUUUUUAUAGAAGGCAAGAAAUAAAAACAUUUCUAAAAGCCUCUCUACUGUCAAAAUAUUUCUCACUGAAAUGGCAACUAUGGUGAUUCACAGGAGCUUCUGGGGGCUUCAGGUGCACCUGCCAGCAGCUUGCAUUGCUCUUGCUGGGGAACAAAAUGCAAAUGAGUCACCACCCAGCAUCUCCCCUUUAGCUUUAUGUUCAAGGAAACUCGGAAUUCAACCUGUCCAAUAAUAGUAAUGAUUUUUGUUGAUACUCUCAGCUCUCUUAAGUGGCUUUACCUUUAAAUAAAUUCCUAAAGGGCGCCUCACAUCUCAUUUUUGAAAGUAUAUAGAAACUCAAUAAAACCAGCACUCCUCUAACCAAGUUACCUUCCUUUCUCAUUCAUUUCUGGUUUGCCUGUCUUGGGCUGGAGGCUAGAGAUGGUUCUGAUACCCAAGUCUUAUCAACAAUGACCAAGCCUGAGCAGAUAUGGCCCAGAGAGGAAGGACUAGUCAUUUACUCCUGAAAUGUGGACUGGAAGGAUACCCCAAAUGCUUUCAUUACCUUACAUCUUUGUAUUAACUGUUGCUGCAUAACAAAUUACCCAGAAUGCAGUGGGUUUAAAACAUAUCGGUUUCUGUGGGUUAGGCUGCAGCAAGUCUCAGCCAAGUGUCUCUACCUCAAAGUUUCUGGCAGGGCUGCAAUUAAGGCGUCGCUUGUUUCUGAGCCCAGUGGUUGUCUGCAGGGUGUUUCUCACAGGUUGUACUGGGGGCCUCUCAACAGUGGUACUCACACAGCACCUUGCUGUCCCAGAGCCAGGGCUCCGAGGCGAGUCAACAGGGUGCAGGCCGAAGCCAUAGCCCUUGGAUGUCCUAAUCUCAGAAGUGACAUCCUGUCAUGUUUACUUUCCUGUUAGGAUAAACCCCACGUUCAAGGCAAGGGAAUUACAAGUGUUCUUACACAAGUGUGUAACAGGUAGGGAUCAGUGGGGUCCUGUUUUUCAAGUAACUUAUUUUUUGUGUCAAUUAACUCCUUUAAUUUUCUGCUAGAAUGGCCACUUACCAUAAUGCUUUAUUGGAACAAAUGUUAGAUCCUCAUAUCCUCACAUGCCGCUGGUAGAUGUUUGUUUUACAAUAAAGUUGCUGAAAAUGAAAGAAGAGCCCUAACCCUCAAAACUCCCUCUACUUUUGUUAUCUAACCUCAAGAGGAUUUAUAGGAGGGUCCACUAGUUCCCCAGUGACUGAACCUUCCUCUAUAUUAAACAAAUCCAAAGUUACCAAUGCAGUAUUUUAGGGGCAUAAUUUCUAAGAACACAGCUCAAAUCGUAGGCAGCUGAUGUACCUUGUAUAACACAGUCCAGUUCUGCCAAUUGGAGGACAAAGCUUGUUACUGUGUUAAAAUGGGCAAAAGUUAGAUCCGAAUUAUGGAUGAGAGAACAUUGUGAUAAAAGUGAACUUGGAGGAUAUAAACUCAAGUUGAUCACCUCCCUUUAUAAGGAAUGCUGCAGUGGGUAACAGAACUAGUUACUAAUGUAAACUUGCUUAAUUAAAACUUAAAACACU